Molecule: non-coding RNA, 65 nt
Organism: Trichinella spiralis
Lineage: Eukaryota; Metazoa; Nematoda; Enoplea; Trichinellida; Trichinellidae
Source: Rfam
AUGUGAGCUGUGACAAACAUUGCAUAAACCAUUUCUAUGCGUGGCAAUGUUUCGAUGAAACACAU